UUUAAAUACAAAUAGAAAAAUAAGAACAGAAAAAUAAAAACAGAAAAAUAAAAUCGGAAAAAUAAAAAAAGAAAGAUGCUCCCCUUGCUUGAUAUUCUUUUCUUUUACUUCUUUCUGCUGAAUUUUUUCAAAAAGUUGAGAACACCAAGCACCUGUUUCCAUGUCUGAAUCAUAGGAACUUUAAUCUCCAAUUUCUUGAAGAUCUCCAUAAUGCACUUGACUUUCUUUUCCUUCCUAUGAUAUUUUUUUUUUGAAUGAGGAAGGGGUUUUGCAUAUGAUCUUUUCUUCUUUCCUUUCUUCCUCUUUUUCUUAAUCUCCUCCCUCAACUUUCUCUUUUUCUCUUUUCUUCUUUUCUUCUUUAUUUUUGCAUAUUUUUUCUUUUUUUCUUUUUUUCUUUUUUCUCAACCACUACUUUUUCUCUCUCCUUAUCUUUCUCUCUCUCAUUCAACCUUUUUGUUUCUUCUUCCUCUAUCUUUUCCUCCUUUAUCUUUUCUUCCUCAAUCUUCUCCUCCUUUUUCUCCAUUUUUUUUAUCCUCAACAACCUUUUCUGUUUCUAUCUCUUUUAUCUUUUUCACCUCUCUCUCUCUAUGUUCUCCUCAUCAACAACCUCAUCAAUUUGUGUCUCCAAAUUCCUGAAGGUAACUUCAUAGCUCUUGGAAUCGUACUUCUCCAAGAAUUUGUCAAACUUUUGAUUAAGGCUUUUAACUUGUUUCGUCACAUCAGCUAUCUGAUGACAUAGUUGUUGCUCAUCCUCCCAUGUUUCUGUUGAUAAAGAGAGUUGUUGCUGCCACAAACGUUGUUUAGAUUCCCCC
RNAcentral lists this long non-coding RNA (812 nucleotides) under Vigna radiata. Its description in RNAcentral is "long non-coding RNA (VRAD_LNC004208)". The record is from RNAcentral. Lineage: Eukaryota; Viridiplantae; Streptophyta; Magnoliopsida; Fabales; Fabaceae.